GACGAACGCUGGCGGCGUACCUAAUACAUGCAAGUCGAGCGGACUUUCAAGAAGCUUACUUUUUGAAAGUUAGCGGCGGACGGGUGAGUAACACGUGGGCAACCUGCCUGUAAGACGGGGAUAACUCCGGGAAACCGGGGCUAAUACCGGAUAAUAUCUUUCUUCGCAUGAAGGAAGGUUGAAAGGCGGCGCAAGCUGCCGCUUGCAGAUGGGCCCGCGGCGCAUUAGCUAGUUGGGGAGGUAACGGCUCACCAAGGCGACGAUGCGUAGCCGACCUGAGAGGGUGAUCGGCCACACUGGGACUGAGACACGGCCCAGACUCCUACGGGAGGCAGCAGUAGGGAAUCUUCCGCAAUGGACGAAAGUCUGACGGAGCAACGCCGCGUGAGCGAAGAAGGUCUUCGGAUCGUAAAGCUCUGUUGUCAGGGAAGAACAAGUACCGUUCGAAUAGGGCGGUACCUUGACGGUACCUGACCAGAAAGCCACGGCUAACUACGUGCCAGCCGCCGCCGUAA
This 515-nucleotide ribosomal RNA is filed under the name uncultured bacterium. RNAcentral's name for it is "partial 16S ribosomal RNA". It matches the Rfam family "Bacterial small subunit ribosomal RNA", at positions 28 to 523 of the family's 1533-position model. The record is from RNAcentral.